Molecule: ribosomal RNA, 468 nt
Filed under: uncultured bacterium
Lineage: Bacteria
Description: partial 16S ribosomal RNA
Rfam family: Bacterial small subunit ribosomal RNA
Source: RNAcentral
GACGAACGCUGGCGGCGUGCUUAACACAUGCAAGUCGAACGGAAAGGCCCUGCUUUUGUGGGGUGCUCGAGUGGCGAACGGGUGAGUAACACGUGAGUAGCCUGCCCUUGACUUUGGGAUAACUUCAGGAAACUGGGGCUAAUACCGGAUAGGAGCUCCUGCUGCAUGGUGGGGGUUGGAAAGUUUCGGCGGUUGGGGAUGGACUCGCGGCUUAUCAGCUUGUUGGUGGGGUAGUGGCUUACCAAGGCUUUGACGGGUAGCCGGCCUGAGAGGGUGACCGGCCACAUUGGGCCUGAGAUACGGCCCAGACUCCUACGGGGGGCAGCAGUGGGGAAUAUUGCACAAUGGGCGGAAGCCUGAUGCAGCAACGCCGCGUGCGGGAUGACGGCCUUCGGGUUGUAAACCGCUUUCGCCUGUGACGAAGCGUGAGUGACGGUAAUGGGUAAAGAAGCACCGGCUAACUACGUG